AGAGGAAGUAAAAGUCGUAACAAGGUUUCCGUAGGUGAACCUGCGGAAGGAUCAUUAUCGUACAACAGAGGCACCUAGGGCUGUCGCUGGCCUUUUAAAGGUUGUGCACGCCCAAAGUGCUUUCUUACAUCCAUCUUACCCCUUUGUGCAUCACCGCGUGGGGCUCCCUAUUCGGGGGUCUUGCGUUUUUACAUCAGACACCAUUUUAAUGCAUGUAUAGAAUGUCUUUGCGAUCACACGCAAUCAAUAUAACUUUCAACAACGGAUCUCUUGGCUCUCGCAUCGAUGAAGAACGCAGCGAAAUGCGAUACGUAAUGUGAAUUGCAGAAUUCAGUGAAUCAUCGAAUCUUUGAACGCACCUUGCGCCCCUUGGUAUUCCGAGGGGCACACCCGUUUGAGUGUCGUGAACACCCUCAAUCUUCUUGGUUUCUCAACCAGGAAGGCUUGGACUUUGGAGGUUUUUCUUGCUGGCUUGUAUUCAAAGUCGGCUUCUCCUAAAUGAAUUAGUGGGACCUGCUUUGCUGAUCCUUUGACGUGAUAAGUAUGCUUCUACGUCUUGGUUUUUGCAAAUGUCACCUGCUUCAAACCGUCUUUUAAACCAAAGACAAUGUUCGAGUUGUGGCUCGACCUCACUGAUCUUGACCUCAAAUCGGGUGAGACUACCCGCUGAACUUAAGCAUAUCAAUAA
RNAcentral lists this ribosomal RNA (688 nucleotides) under uncultured fungus. RNAcentral's name for it is "eukaryotic LSU rRNA". The stretch from base 251 to 404 matches the Rfam family "5.8S ribosomal RNA". Lineage: Eukaryota; Fungi. The record is from RNAcentral.